This is an RNA transcript of Frieseomelitta varia, 1420 nucleotides long. RefSeq lists it as uncharacterized. The record is from RefSeq and is a predicted model, not a curated record. The transcript is spliced from 2 exons. Lineage: Eukaryota; Metazoa; Arthropoda; Insecta; Hymenoptera; Apidae.
UCCUAUCCGUGAAAGUGUGUCUUCAAGAAUCUUCUCUUUAAGAAUCGGCGACCUCGAAAAGUCGCGAAUCCCAGUACGUAUGUAUGUAUGUAUUUUCACGGAUCGGAGUCGCCGGUGGUCUACGAACGAUUCCGAUCGAUCGCAGUCGCCCGGAUGGAUACGAGGAAGUCGACUGGUACUGGGGCCGACCAGGCGUCUUACGAGCGAGGCUUCUGCACGAACGCAGACAUCGAUCCGACUUUGGCCUUUGGAAUGCACCGUGCCGUUACAUAAUUACGUCGAACGUAAUGUUACAUCGUUACGCAAGCAAAGACCCGGUGGCCACGGACACGACAGGGACACGUCGCACUGGCAAAGAGGCAACCGGUUCGUCGAGCGGCACGCUCUAAAAUUAAUUCGAUAUGUUAACUCGCUCUCGUUGCUCGGCCAGAAGUCACGCCGAUUCCUCGCGGACCCGAAAAUCCGCGGAUUUCCAAACGACCCGACGACGUGGGCAUGCUCAUUCUCGCGUUAUCGUUGUAAAAUUCACUUGGUGGAUCGAUGUUUUCUUUUUUGGUUUGUUUUUAUUAAAAAAAUGUGAUAAAUGUAACUGAAUAUGAAGGGAUCGACUUUAUCUACAUCGUUGUAUUUUUCCUCUUCCGUUUUUAACAGGAAGGCUUUGAUACGACAGCGACGAAUUGAGAUUUAUUAUUAAUCGUCUUCUUCGGCCUGCAUUGCACGACGCACACGGAGUUCCAUGGGAAAUCGACGGGAAACAUGUUCGUCGACGAGCUCAACGUCGACGUACGACCGGUUCGUGAUGGUCGAUGCAGCAAUUAAAUGGUCUCCGCGGUCUCGACGAAGGAACUGGCUUAAUUGAAGAAUUAGUUUAGGUAGGAGUUCGUCUCUCGUUCGUGCUUAAGACGAUCGCGAGCGAUCGCGUUAACAUCUUCCGAUUCCGUGGCACAGUUCAUCCGAAAUAGGUUUAACUUUCAUUGGAUUAGAGCGGCGAAUACGUUCGAAUGAUUCGAAAUGUAAAUUUAUUUGAAUGAAAAAUUCUGCUGCAGAAUGAAUAACGUUGUACGACAGUUAUUAGAUUUAUUAAGAACGAGAUAUUCCGUUUGUGAUAAUUUAUUAAGAACGAUAUGUUCGAGUUAUUAUUGGUUAUUAUAUCGUAGAAAAUGAAUAAGUUUCUCAACAGUUGCGUAGAUAUAGAAUUAUUAGAUUUAUUCAGAACGAUAGAUUCGUUUGAGCGAUUGUUAUAUUAUAGGAAAUAAGUAACAAGUGAGUAACAAAUAUUGGAUCUAUUAAAAACGAAGUAUUUAAUCUUACGAUUUCCUUUUCAAUCUUCCUAACUAAACGUUAAUUACCGUCACUUGUUCUAUUGUGUGAAACGUGCACAAUGAAAUUGCGUACACUGUGUGCACAAAUAAAAUUUAAU